GACGAACGCUGGCGGCGUGCUUAACACAUGCAAGUCGAACGAAAAGCGACGGAAGUUGGCUUCUACUAGUCUGAGGGGCGGACGGGUGAGUAACGCGUAAUCAACCUGUCCCUCAGAGGGGGACUACAGAAGGUAACGAUAGCUAAUACUACAUACGACUUAAUCAUGGCAUGGAGGAGGGAUGAAAGGCGGCCGCUACAUGUAUGCUAGCACUUCAGGAGGGGAGUGCGGCGGAUUAGUUAGGUGGCGGGGUAACGGACCACCAAGGCGAGGAUCAGUAGCCGGACGGAGAUGAUGGGCGGCCGCAUUGGGACGGGGACAGGCCCCAGACUGCUUGGGGUGGGAGCAGGAGGGAAACUGCCGGAAUGGAUGAAAGUCUGACGACGCAACGCCGAGGGAGUGAUGACGGCCGUCGGGUUGUGAAGGUCUGUUAAUCGGGAGGAAAGGCCUUCUUGCGAAUAGGGAGAGGGAUUGACGGUACCGGGAUAAGAAGCCACGGCUAACUACGUG
Molecule: ribosomal RNA, 510 nt
Filed under: uncultured bacterium
Lineage: Bacteria
Description: partial 16S ribosomal RNA
Rfam family: Bacterial small subunit ribosomal RNA
Source: RNAcentral